This 468-nucleotide ribosomal RNA is filed under the name uncultured bacterium. Its description in RNAcentral is "partial 16S ribosomal RNA". It matches the Rfam family "Bacterial small subunit ribosomal RNA", at positions 28 to 507 of the family's 1533-position model. The record is from RNAcentral.
GACGAACGCUGGCGGCGUGCUUAACACAUGCAAGUCGAACGGAAAGGCCCUGCUUUUGUGGGGUGCUCGAGUGGCGAACGGGUGAGUAACACGUGAGUAACCUGCCCUUGACUUUGGGAUAACUUCAGGAAACUGGGGCUAAUACCGGAUAGGAGCUCCUGCUGCAUGGUGGGGGUUGGAAAGUUUCGGCGGUUGGGGAUGGACUCGCGGCUUAUCAGCUUGUUGGUGGGGUAGUGGCUUAUCAAGGCUUUGACGGGUAGCCGGCCUGAGAGGGUGACCGGCCACAUUGGGACUGAGAUACGGCCCAGACUCCUACGGGAGGCAGCAGUGGGGAAUAUUGCACAAUGGGCGGAAGCCUGAUGCAGCAACGCCGUGUGCGGGAUGACGGCCUUCGGGUUGUAAACCGCUUUCGCCUGUGACGAAGCGUGAGUGACGGUAAUGGGUAAAGAAGCACCGGCUAACUACGUG